Molecule: transfer RNA, 64 nt
Filed under: Attagenus hottentotus
Lineage: Eukaryota; Metazoa; Arthropoda; Insecta; Coleoptera; Dermestidae
Description: tRNA-Pro
Source: RNAcentral
CAGAGAGUGGUUUAAAUAAAAUAUUAAUUUUGGAGAUUAAUGAUAGAAGAUUUUCUUUCUCUGA